GAUGAACGCUGGCGGCGUGCCUAAUACAUGCAAGUCGAGCGAACAGACGAGGAGCUUGCUCCUCUGACGUUAGCGGCGGACGGGUGAGUAACACGUGGAUAACCUACCUAUAAGACUGGGAUAACUUCGGGAAACCGGAGCUAAUACCGGAUAAUAUAUUGAACCGCAUGGUUCAAUAGUGAAAGACGGUUUUGCUGUCACUUAUAGAUGGAUCCGCGCCGCAUUAGCUAGUUGGUAAGGUAACGGCUUACCAAGGCGACGAUGCGUAGCCGACCUGAGAGGGUGAUCGGCCACACUGGAACUGAGACACGGUCCAGACUCCUACGGGAGGCAGCAGUAGGGAAUCUUCCGCAAUGGGCGAAAGCCUGACGGAGCAACGCCGCGUGAGUGAUGAAGGUCUUCGGAUCGUAAAACUCUGUUAUUAGGGAAGAACAAAUGUGUAAGUAACUAUGCACGUCUUGACGGUACCUAAUCAGAAAGCCACCGCUAACUACGUG
This 497-nucleotide ribosomal RNA is filed under the name uncultured bacterium. RNAcentral's name for it is "partial 16S ribosomal RNA". It matches the Rfam family "Bacterial small subunit ribosomal RNA", at positions 28 to 507 of the family's 1533-position model. The record is from RNAcentral.